GAUGAACGCUGGCGGCGUGCCUAACACAUGCAAGUCGAGCGAAGCACUUUGCUUAGAUUCUUCGGAUGAAGAGGAUUGUGACUGAGCGGCGGACGGGUGAGUAACGCGUGGGUAACCUGCCUUAUACAGGGGGAUAACAGUUAGAAACGACUGCUAAUACCGCAUAAGCGCACGGUAUCGCAUGAUACAGUGUGAAAAACUCCGGUGGUAUAAGAUGGACCCGCGUCUGAUUAGUUAGUUGGUGAGGUAACGGCUCACCAAGACCGCGAUCGGUAGCCGGACUGAGAGGUUGAACGGCCACAUUGGGACUGAGACACGGCCCAGACUCCUACGGGAGGCAGCAGUGGGGGGAUAUUGCCACAAUGGGGGAAACCCGUAGAUAGCAGCGACGCCGCGUGGAGGAAGAAGGUUUACGGUAGUGUAACUACCUCGUC
RNAcentral lists this ribosomal RNA (434 nucleotides) under uncultured bacterium. RNAcentral describes it as "bacterial SSU rRNA". It matches the Rfam family "Bacterial small subunit ribosomal RNA", at positions 28 to 438 of the family's 1533-position model. The record is from RNAcentral.